Non-coding RNA from Monodelphis domestica (gray short-tailed opossum), 934 nucleotides. NCBI's taxonomy places the organism in Eukaryota, Metazoa, Chordata, Mammalia, Didelphimorphia, Didelphidae. The record is from RefSeq and is a predicted model, not a curated record.
UUAAGAGAGUCGGGGGACUUCUGGGAGCCGAGUUCCACCUGGCCUCCCCUUCUGCUGGAGGCGAUUCUCUGAAGAGGGCCCGAGGAUGCGGCCAGUGAAAAAGCUGGCUCUUUCCUGGACUUCCUGAAGAGGCCGGCCCAAGGCGAGCCGUCCCCAGGCCCCGGCUCUGCCGAGGCCAGCUAAGGAGCGCCUCCCCCAGGCCUGCUUUUGAGCCGGGCCACGAGGAAAUUCCUCAGUGUUUACGCGGGCUUGCCUGCUCCUCCCUCUGAUGUCUUCCUUCACUCUUUCUGCGUUUUGUGAUGAAAUUGAAAGGCAGAAGAGAGAGAAGACACGGGCCAAAAGCAGGCUGGCGGUUACUUCUCAUAGCUGGGAAUGGGAAUGGCACGACCUCACCCACCCAGGAAGCAGGCAGCAGAAUGGACCAGUGCCAGAGCCUUACACUGUGCCCACCAUGGCAGACACCCCCAGAGGAAAGGCAGGGGCGGCAGCCGCAUCGACUGCGCUUCAUCUUACGUCACAAAAGCAAGGGAGCCACAUACAAAGCUGGAGCAAAAGCAAAUCUCGUGAAAAGAGAGAAGGAAGGAAACGACAUCCUGAUGAAAGGGACCACAGACCGCGACGUCACGUCAGUACUAAACCUUCGACUUUCCCCUCUCGGGACUAGACGAAGCUAGCCAAAAAGUAAACCAGAAAGAAGCUAAGGAAGAGAACGGAAUGUUGGAAAAGUGAGGUAGAUAGAGCCCGGGAGGAAAGUGAAUGGGAAUAGAAAGGACUAUACCUGUUUCUCAGUAGUAGAUGGCACCUCUACAAAAUCCGACGCUGUAUUAGGGCUCAAAAACCUCACAGCCAAAUGCAGAAAAGCAGAAAUAAAAUGCACCCUUUUCAGAGUAUAAAGCAGUAAGAAUUACAUUUAAUAAAAGGUCAUGGAAAGACA